ACAACCUACAUCCUUGGUCUCCAUGGUACUGUGUGUUGCUGUUGCUGAGCAUGUUGCGCAUGAAUUGGUCCAAUAUGUGGCAUUGGAGCAGGUGUGUUCAUAAAAAGUGACACAUUUAGACCUAGAGAAUUCAACAGGGGAACAAGAGGUGGUGCAAUCCCUUGUGACACAUUAAGACCUAGAGAAUUCAACAGGGGAACAAGAGGUGGUGCAAUCCCUUGAAAACUUGUAAAGUUUGGGGCAGAAGAAGGAAGCAUGACUGGACCAUGGCAUCUCAAGCUAUCUAAGCUAUGAGAAAGAGGAUUAAGAUAAGGAACUUGUGCAGCAAAAUGAGUGGUUAAAUGACCCCUAUUU
RNAcentral lists this long non-coding RNA (354 nucleotides) under Theobroma cacao (cacao). RNAcentral's name for it is "long non-coding RNA (TCAC_LNC000129)". Lineage: Eukaryota; Viridiplantae; Streptophyta; Magnoliopsida; Malvales; Malvaceae. The record is from RNAcentral.